This 252-nucleotide ribosomal RNA is filed under the name uncultured bacterium. RNAcentral describes it as "partial 16S ribosomal RNA". It matches the Rfam family "Bacterial small subunit ribosomal RNA", at positions 524 to 776 of the family's 1533-position model. The record is from RNAcentral.
UACGUAGGGUGCAAGCGUUAAUCGGAAUUACUGGGCGUAAAGCGUGCGCAGGCAGUUUUAUAAGUCAGAUGUGAAAUCCCCGAGCUCAACUUGGGAACUGCGUUUGAAACUGUAAGACUAGAGUGUGUCAGAGGGGGGUAGAAUUCCAAGUGUAGCAGUGAAAUGCGUAGAGGUUUGGAGGAAUACCAUGGCGAAGGCAGCCCCCUGGGAUAACACUGACGCUCAUGCACGAAAGCGUGGUGAGCAAACAGG